This 341-nucleotide ribosomal RNA is filed under the name uncultured archaeon. RNAcentral's name for it is "partial 16S ribosomal RNA". It matches the Rfam family "Archaeal small subunit ribosomal RNA", at positions 133 to 475 of the family's 1478-position model. The record is from RNAcentral.
CGGGAAACUGGGGAUAAUACCCGAUAGAUCUCGGAGGCUGGAAUGCAUCGAGAUCUAAAGCUCCGGCGCCCGAGGAUGGAUCUGCGGCCUAUCAGGUAGUAGUGGGUGUAGCGUACCUACUAGCCUACGACGGGUACGGGUUGUGAGAGCAAGAGCCCGGAGAUGGAUUCUGAGACACGAAUCCAGGCCCUACGGGGUGCAGCAGGCGCGAAAACUUUACAAUGCUGGCAACAGCGAUAAGGGGACCUCGAGUGCCAGGUUACAAAUCUGGCUGUCGAGAUGCCUAAAAAGCAUUUCAUAGCAAGGGCCGGGCAAGACCGGUGCCAGCCGCCGCGGUAACA